UACGGAGGAUGUGAGCGUUAUCCGGAUUUAUUGGGUUUAAAGGGUGCGUAGGCGGGCUUUUAAGUCAGCGGUAAAAAUUCGGGGCUCAACCCCGUCCGGCCGUUGAAACUGGGGGUCUUGAGUGGGCGAGAAGAAGGCGGAAUGCGUGGUGUAGCGGUGAAAUGCAUAGAUAUCACGCAGAACCCCGAUUGCGAAGGCAGCCUUCCGGCGCCCUACUGACGCUGAGGCACGAAAGUGCGGGGAUCGAACAGG
This 252-nucleotide ribosomal RNA is filed under the name uncultured bacterium. RNAcentral's name for it is "partial 16S ribosomal RNA". It matches the Rfam family "Bacterial small subunit ribosomal RNA", at positions 524 to 776 of the family's 1533-position model. The record is from RNAcentral.